UGCAUACAAAUAAGCGGGGGGAAAGAAACCAACAGGGGUUGCCUCAGUAGCGGCGAGUGAAGCGGCAAAAGCUCAAAUUUGAAAUCUGGCGUCUUUGGCGUCCGAGUUGUAAUUUGAAGAAGGUAUCUUUGGGCCCGGCUCUUGUCUAUGUUCCUUGGGACAGGGCGUCACAGAGGGUGAGAAUCCCGUGCGAUGAGAUGGCCCGGGUCUAUGUAAAGUUCCUUCGACGAGUCGAGUUGUUUGGGGAUGCAGCUCUAAGUGGGUGGUAAAUUCCAUCUAAAGCUAAAUAUUGGCGAGAGACCGAUAGCGAACAAGUACAGUGAUGGGAAGAUGAAAAGAACUUUGAAAAGAGAGUGAAAAAGUACGUGAAAUUGUUGAAAGGGGAGGGCUUGAGAUCAGACUUGGUAUUUUGCAAGUUACUCUUUCGGGGGUGGCCUCUGCGGUUUACCGGGCCAGCAUCGGUUUGGGGCGGUAGGGUAAUGGCGGGGGGAUGUGGCACGACUUUGGUUGUGUGUUAUAGCCUCUGACGAUACUGCCAGCCUAGACCGAGGGCUGCGGUUUUUACCUAGGGUGUUGGCAUAAUGAUCUUAAGUCGCCCGUCUUGAACCAACGGGGCC
Molecule: ribosomal RNA, 617 nt
Filed under: Candida dubliniensis
Lineage: Eukaryota; Fungi; Ascomycota; Pichiomycetes; Serinales; Debaryomycetaceae
Description: eukaryotic LSU rRNA
Rfam family: Eukaryotic large subunit ribosomal RNA
Source: RNAcentral